UACGGAGGGGGCUAGCGUUGUUCGGAAUUACUGGGCGUAAAGCGCGCGUAGGCGGCUUUGUAAGUUAGAGGUGAAAGCCCGGGGCUCAACCCCGGAACUGCCUUUAAAACUGCAUCGCUUGAAUCCAGGAGAGGUGAGUGGAAUUCCGAGUGUAGAGGUGAAAUUCGUAGAUAUUCGGAAGAACACCAGUGGCGAAGGCGGCUCACUGGACUGGUAUUGACGCUGAGGUGCGAAAGCGUGGGGAGCAAACAGG
RNAcentral lists this ribosomal RNA (253 nucleotides) under uncultured bacterium. RNAcentral's name for it is "partial 16S ribosomal RNA". It matches the Rfam family "Bacterial small subunit ribosomal RNA", at positions 524 to 776 of the family's 1533-position model. The record is from RNAcentral.